This 453-nucleotide ribosomal RNA is filed under the name uncultured bacterium. Its description in RNAcentral is "bacterial SSU rRNA". It matches the Rfam family "Bacterial small subunit ribosomal RNA", at positions 349 to 793 of the family's 1533-position model. The record is from RNAcentral.
CAGCAGUGGGGAAUAUUGCACAAUGGGCGCAAGCCUGAUGCAGCCAUGCCGCGUGUGUGAAGAAGGCCUUCGGGUUGUAAAGCACUUUCAGUCGUGAGGAAGGUAGUGUAGUUAAUAGCUGCAUUAUUUGACGUUAGCGACAGAAGAAGCACCGGCUAACUCCGUGCCAGCAGCCGCGGUAAUACGGAGGGUGCGAGCGUUAAUCGGAAUUACUGGGCGUAAAGCGCAUGCAGGUGGUUUGUUAAGUCAGAUGUGAAAGCCCGGGGCUCAACCUCGGAAUAGCAUUUGAAACUGGCAGACUAGAGUACUGUAGAGGGGGUAGAAUUUCAGGUGUAGCGGUGAAAAUGCGUAGAGAUCUGAAGGAAUACCGGUGGCGAAGGCGGCCCCCUGGACAGAUACUGACACUCAGAUGCGAAAAGCGUGGGGAGCAAACAGGAUUAGAUACCCUGGUAG